Molecule: long non-coding RNA, 264 nt
Filed under: Lathyrus oleraceus (garden pea)
Lineage: Eukaryota; Viridiplantae; Streptophyta; Magnoliopsida; Fabales; Fabaceae
Description: Pisum sativum (pea) long non-coding RNA (PSAT_LNC015280)
Source: RNAcentral
GAAGAGGGAGUUCAGAUGGGUUCAUUCAGAAGUAAGGCCUCAGAAAUGGGAAGUGUUGUGGUGGUGAGAUUAAAUAGUUGGAAGGGGUGAGAAGGGGUUAGAGUUGUGAAGUUCAGAGGGAUUGGGAACGGAUGUUGUGGGUUCAGAGUUGGUGUAGGUAGAUGAUGGUUGAGGUAAAGAGGAAAAUAAUUGCUUUAAAUUAGAGUUUAAAGGAGUUUCACAGGGAACUGGCUUACUUAAAGUAGGGGAGUCCAGAGGCACGAG